CCGUGAUAAAGUAGCAUAAUCACUCGUCAUUUAAUUGGUGACUGGAAUGAAUGGUUACACGAAUCUUUAACUGUCUCAAGAAGAAAGUUCAAUUAAUUUGAAAAAACAGUGAAGAUGCUGUUAACAAAAUUGUAAGACGAAAAGACCCUUUCGAGCUUUACUAUAAGCUUAUAGAAAAAAUCUUUAAUAAAAAUAUAAUAAAAACAAACUGUAAGCUAGUUAGUUUGGUUGGGGCGACCACCUCUAAAACAGUAUCAGAGGAAAUCUAAAGGUAUAAUAGUAAUAUUAAUUGCCUUACUGUAUACAGACAAGUUAAUCAGUUACUAUUAUGUAGGAUAUAAUGACCCGUUGAAUUAAUUUCAAAAUUCAACGACCAUGAAAAAAGUUACCGUAGGGAUAACAGGGUAAUAUUAUCAAAGAGUUCAUAUCGAUGAUGAU
RNAcentral lists this ribosomal RNA (438 nucleotides) under Nemopilema nomurai. RNAcentral's name for it is "partial 16S ribosomal RNA". It matches the Rfam family "Bacterial large subunit ribosomal RNA", at positions 1946 to 2515 of the family's 2925-position model. Lineage: Eukaryota; Metazoa; Cnidaria; Scyphozoa; Rhizostomeae; Rhizostomatidae. The record is from RNAcentral.